AGUCAGAUCCUUUUCAUCAAGCUAUGACAGAGAUGUCCAAGCUGCUGCACAGAUGAGGGCAAUCUCCCCCAUCGUGGCUGAGACAGGAGCUACAGAAGGAUAUGCUGUCCUGUGGCCAGCACUUCCAACUGUACCAGGACAAAGGAGAGAAGCUGGUGAUAAGUCACAUUCAAUCUGUGCUAUAGUCACUGGAGAGUUUGACUGAAAAAAGAAGACUGAAAGAGGGACUGUCAUAAUAAUUAAAAAAUAUUCAUGGUUGCUGAAUGGAUUCUAGAAUGAAUGGCACAACACUGUAAAGUCAACUGCACCCUCCUGAAAUCAUCUGGCAGUAAGUAGUAUUAAGAAUGUUGUGUUUGAUGUAAAAGAUUAAAAAUUCACUGUAUAGGAAAUAGAACUACUAAGGUUGCUGGCUGAAGAUCUUAAGACAUAAAAGGUAUUAGAUUACCUGCUAUUCUUUGCUUUAAUCUAACAUAUAAAUGUUUUAUUGUGGUCAAACUCAACUCUUGGAUUCAAAGUCACUAUCAAACAAAUCAGACGUAUCAAACAAAAGCACUUCAUCAAAACAAACAAACAAAAAAAAACCAACUCUUUGAAUAGAUAGUGGGAGUUUCAUAGGGCACUUCUGCAUGGAUCGGUGUGAUGCUGUGUCCAGAAAGCGACACAACCCGUUCAGAUCCUUAGGGAUCUGUGACAGAGCCAGUGCUCCUUCUGCAGGAGGGUUUAAAAAAAAAAAGUUCAGAAAUAAAACUGACAGGACUAACUCAAUGAACUAAAAUAAAAAUGAACUAAAAUAAAAUAAAAAUGAGAACUGAAACACCACCCAGUUAUUCUCCUGGACCUCUCGAAAUAAAGAGUACUUUAAACAUUGUAAUGCUAGUUCACUGCUCAUUAAUUCUGUAACUUUAAUGACACACUAAGGGUGAACAGGGAUAUUUUGCAGUGCUUAGCAGACAUAUCAGAGGAUCAACACUCACAGACUGAGUUUGUUAAUUAUAGUAUAGUUAUUUUUACAGUUAAUUUUCUGUAGUUUUAAAAUGUGAUACCUAUAUAAAAUUAAAGAAUAUAAAAGAAUAUAAAAUCGAGAUUUUAUAUUCUUUUUAAAACUAUUUAGUGAUAGUUAAGAGUUAACUCUGAAGGCUGUUAUUAUCUAUAGAUAUAUCCCAUUAACACCUGAAGACUGCUAAAACAUUAGUUUCCCUAAUAUGUUGCAAUAGUUGGAUGAAAACUGCCACAAGGAUAGAAGCAAAAAGGAGAACCUUUAGGAACUUUAAGAACUUGGGAAGGAUUGUGGUACAUACUUAACUUACAGUGACAGUGGAAAAUAAUAUUUCAUUAGAGAAAAUAUAACUAGAUUUUAGCACCCAAAAAAACCUAAACCAAACCAAACCAAACCAAACCAAAAACAAACAAAUAAACAAACAAAAAAAAAUUGUGGUAAUUUCAAAAAAAAAUUACUACAUUAGAAAAGCCACAUCAAUUAGAAAAAAGGGAAUAAAUGGAGGAAACAGAAUAAGGUGACUACAAAGAGAUACUGACUUUGCAAACUCUGAAACAGCCCCCAGCUAAGCAGUGAAAUGAUAAUAAAUAUGCUAAUACUCAUUUCAGUACUAUGGAAAAGACAGAGCUGAAUUCAUUUGGCCAAACAAACACAGGUGUCUAGUGCCAAGGGAGAUGCCCUGGAGUAGUAGAUCAGUGAGCUGCCACUGGGGGGCAGGAUGGGCAUUUGAUCUUGGGUACCAACCCCAGGGGCUCUGUCCCUGGCAGGGCUGGGGCUUGUGAUUUGGGAAGGGAGUCCAGCUCCAGGCAGAGCUGGCAACUUCCUCCUAUCACUGGUGGAGGCAGAAGCCUGCCAGCACAAGAGAUGAUCCAAGGUCAUUUUGUCUGUUUUGUUUGUUUGUUAUCUGUAUACCUGUAACCAGCACUUGGUCAUGUUAAAGCAAGUACACUGCAGUAAGCAGCUGUGAUUCACAUAGAUAAAAUGCUGAAUGAUUUUCUGCAGAAAUUUCUGCUCUUGAUUACUUCAAGCUGAUGUGAAAUCAAAUGAAAGAAGUUGAUUCUGUCCUGAACAUUUUACUUGCAGCCAUUUGGUGAUGAUACUCAUUAAUCAAGGUAAAACUCAUUGUAUUGCUUCAUUUCUGUCAUUAUAGGGAAAUGGUACUUUGCUUCAGAUCCAAAGGGUGGCAUAAUUUUAUCUUCUGUAUGACAGAUUCUCUUCUGCAUGUAAUUGCUUCCUUAUGUCAUUCACCAUUAAACUAUGUGUAUUUUA
This is a non-coding RNA of Anas platyrhynchos (mallard), 2266 nucleotides long. The record is from RefSeq and is a predicted model, not a curated record. Lineage: Eukaryota; Metazoa; Chordata; Aves; Anseriformes; Anatidae.